RNAcentral lists this ribosomal RNA (1490 nucleotides) under metagenome. RNAcentral's name for it is "bacterial SSU rRNA". It matches the Rfam family "Bacterial small subunit ribosomal RNA". The record is from RNAcentral.
AGAGUUUGAUCCUGGCUCAGAUUGAACGCUGGCGGCAUGCCUUACACAUGCAAGUCGAACGGCAGCGCGGGGCAACCUGGCGGCGAGUGGCGAACGGGUGAGUAAUAUCGGAACGUACCCUGGAGUGGGGGAUAACGUAGCGAAAGUUACGCUAAUACCGCAUACGAUCUAAGGAUGAAAGUGGGGGAUCGCAAGACCUCAUGCUCCUGGAGCGGCCGAUAUCUGAUUAGCUAGUUGGUGGGGUAAAGGCCUACCAAGGCAUCGAUCAGUAGCUGGUCUGAGAGGACGACCAGCCACACUGGAACUGAGACACGGUCCAGACUCCUACGGGAGGCAGCAGUGGGGAAUUUUGGACAAUGGGCGCAAGCCUGAUCCAGCAAUGCCGCGUGAGUGAAGAAGGCCUUCGGGUUGUAAAGCUCUUUUGUCAGGGAAGAAACGGUGAAGGCUAAUAUCCUUUGCUAAUGACGGUACCUGAAGAAUAAGCACCGGCUAACUACGUGCCAGCAGCCGCGGUAAUACGUAGGGUGCAAGCGUUAAUCGGAAUUACUGGGCGUAAAGCGUGCGCAGGCGGUUUUGUAAGUCUGUCGUGAAAUCCCCGGGCUCAACCUGGGAAUUGCGAUGGAGACUGCAAGGCUAGAAUCUGGCAGAGGGGGGUAGAAUUCCACGUGUAGCAGUGAAAUGCGUAGAGAUGUGGAGGAACACCGAUGGCGAAGGCAGCCCCCUGGGUCAAGAUUGACGCUCAUGCACGAAAGCGUGGGGAGCAAACAGGAUUAGAUACCCUGGUAGUCCACGCCCUAAACUAUGUCUACUAGUUGUCGGGUUUUAAUUAACUUGGUGCCGAAGCUAACGCAUUAAGCAUUCCGCCUGGGGAGUACGGUCGCAAGGCUGAAACUCAAAGGAAUUGACGGGGGCCCGCACAAGCGGUGGAGCAUGUGGUCUAAUUCGACACCACGCGAAGAACCUUACCCAGGCUCGAACGGCAGAUGACAUUCUACGAAAGUAGGCUCUCGCAAGGGCAUCUGUCGAGGUGCUGCAUGGCUGUCGUCAGCUCGUUUCGUGAGAUGUUGGGUUAAGUCCCGCAACGAGCGCAACCCUUGUCUUCUGUUGCCAUCGGGUUAUGCCGGGCACUCUGAAGAGACUGCCGGUGACAAACCGGAGGAAGGUGGGGAUGACGUCAAGUCAGCAUGGCCUUUAUUUCUGGGGCCACACACGUGCUACAAUGGCCGGUACAAACCGUUGCGAUCUCGCGAGAGGGAGCUAAUCGGACAAAGCCGGUCUCAGUUCGGAUUGUAGGCUGCAACUCGCCUGCAUGAAGUUGGAAUCGCUAGUAAUCGCGGAUCAGCACGCCGCGGUGAAUACGUUCCCGGGCCUUGUACACACCGCCCGUCACAUCACGAAAGCUGGCUGUACUAGAAGUGGCCGAGCUAACCCGCAAGGGAGGCAGGUUCCUAAGGUAUGGUCAGUGAUUGGGGUGAAGUCGAAACAAGGUA